UGCAGUCGACGGUGAAGGAGAGCUUGCUCUCCGGAUCAGUGGCGAACGGGUGAGUAACACGUGAGCAAUCUGCCCCUGACUCUGGGAUAAGCGUUGGAAACGACGUCUAAUACCGGAUACGAGCUGCGAAGGCAUCUUCAGCAGCUGGAAAGAACUUCGGUCAGGGAUGAGCUCGCGGCCUAUCAGCUAGUUGGUGAGGUAAAGGCUCACCAAGGCGUCGACGGGUAGCCGGCCUGAGAGGGUGACCGGCCACACUGGGACUGAGACACGGUCCAGACUCCUACGGGAGGCAGCAGUGGGGAAUAUUGCACAAUGGGCGCAAGCCUGAUGCAGCAACGCCGCGUGAGGGACGACGGCCUUCGGGUUGUAAACCUCUUUUAGCAGGGAAGAAGCGAAAGUGACGGUACCUGCAGAAAAAGCACCGGCUAACUACGUGCCAGCAGCCGCGGUAAUACGUAGGGUGCAAGCGUUAUCCGGAAUUAUUGGGCGUAAAGAGCUCGUAGGCGGUUUGUCGCGUCUGCUGUGAAAACUGGGGGCUCAACCCCCAGCCUGCAGUGGGUACGGGCAGACUAGAGUGCGGUAGGGGAGAUUGGAAUUCCUGGUGUAGCGGUGGAAUGCGCAGAUAUCAGGAGGAACACCGAUG
This 643-nucleotide ribosomal RNA is filed under the name uncultured bacterium. RNAcentral's name for it is "bacterial SSU rRNA". It matches the Rfam family "Bacterial small subunit ribosomal RNA", at positions 56 to 714 of the family's 1533-position model. The record is from RNAcentral.